This 1076-nucleotide ribosomal RNA is filed under the name Verrucaria sp. A. Orange 16664. RNAcentral describes it as "eukaryotic LSU rRNA". It matches the Rfam family "Eukaryotic large subunit ribosomal RNA", at positions 1 to 1124 of the family's 3401-position model. Lineage: Eukaryota; Fungi; Ascomycota; Eurotiomycetes; Verrucariales; Verrucariaceae. The record is from RNAcentral.
GGUUGACCUCGGAUCAGGUAGGGAUACCCGCUGAACUUAAGCAUAUCAAUAAGCGGAGGAAAAGAAACCAACAGGGAUUGCCUCAGUAACGGCGAGUGAAGCGGCAACAGCUCAAAUUUGAAAUCCGGCUCCGUCCGGGGUCUGAGUUGUAAUUUGUAGAGGAUGCUUCGGGCAAGGCCGUGAUCUAAUUCGCUUGGAACAGCGAGUCACAGAGGGUGAGAAUCCCGUCCAGGAUCGCAGGCCGCGUCCGGGUGAAGCUCCUUCGACGAGUCGAGUUGUUUGGGAAUGCAGCUCUAAAUGGGUGGUAAAUUUCAUCUAAAGCUAAAUAUGGGCCAGAGACCGAUAGCGCACAAGUAGAGUGAUCGAAAGAUGAAAAGCACUUUGAAAAGAGAGUUAAACAGUAUGUGAAAUUGUUGAAAGGGAAGCGCUUGCAACCAGACUUGUGAUUGACGGUUCCCCCGGCCUCGUGGCCGGGCUACUCCGUCACGUCCAGGCCAGCAUCGGUUCGGGUGGUCGGUGAAAGAUUCCCGGGAACGUAUCAACCUUCGGGUUGACUUAUAGCCCGGGGUGCCAUGCGGCCCACCCGGACCGAGGAACGCGCUCCGGCUCGGAUGUUGGCGUAAUGGUUGUAAGCGGCCCGUCUUGAAACACGGACCAAGGAGUCUAACAUCUAUGCGAGUGUUUGGGUGUCAAACCCCUACGCGGAAUGAAAGUGAACGGAGGUAAGAACCUCUCGGGGUGCAUUAUCGACCGAUCCUGAUGUCUUCGGAUGGAUUUGAGUAAGAGCAUAGCUGUUGGGACCCGAAAGAUGGUGAACUAUGCAUGAAUAGGGUGAAGCCAGAGGAAACUCUGGUGGAGGCUCGCAGCGGUUCUGACGUGCAAAUCGAUCGUCAAAUUUGUGCAUAGGGGCGAAAGACUAAUCGAACCAUGGUCAAGACCGACCCCGGAAGGGCCUCUGUGGGGUCUGCGCGGUCCGUCAGGUGGUUCUCCACCAGUCCUCCGGGGCAACAUCGUCCUUCUGGCGGGGAUCUCCACCCGCAGCAGCUUCGUGGUGGGCUGUUCACAGACUAGGAGAC